Molecule: small nuclear RNA, 22 nt
Filed under: Arabidopsis thaliana (thale cress)
Lineage: Eukaryota; Viridiplantae; Streptophyta; Magnoliopsida; Brassicales; Brassicaceae
Description: snRNA_09162
Source: RNAcentral
AGGUUCGCCCUGCUAAACCCAA